Molecule: long non-coding RNA, 744 nt
Filed under: Numida meleagris (helmeted guineafowl)
Lineage: Eukaryota; Metazoa; Chordata; Aves; Galliformes; Numididae
Description: lncRNA (ENSNMEG00000022169.1)
Source: RNAcentral
CUUUGAUCUGACUGGUUUGUCUCGUGUUCACUUGCUGUUUCCUUGCUUAGUUAUCUGAUGCUUAAGAUACAUCCCCAUUACAGUGAUUUACUUCUGCUGUGGGCUAUGUGUUUGACUUUUGUGGGGCUUCUCUAUGGGUCCCCAGCUGGAGCUGUCAUUGCUUCUCAGCUGUUUGCAAUGAGUGCUGCUCUGCAGGUGGCUUAUGCGGGAGGCCCAGAGUAGGUUCCUGCUUGUGGCUAUUGAAUAGAAGUUACUGGGAAUGCUAGGGCUGUCAGCUUUGUGCAGAUCUCUUCCUACGGAGACUGGAGUUCAUUUAGAAGCAUGUGCUUUAAAAAGGAUGCUAAAACUGGUGCUAAGGAGGCUUGUAUAAAUCCUGUCCAGGCUGAAGGAUCAAGAUGGAACCAGGGAAGGUCUUCACUUACAGCCAGGAGCAGUUUGGGCCAUAGAAGGGAAUGGACUGACACAAACCUCUCAGAUGUCCAGGGUGGCCCUGCCAGGUCCUGUCAACCGAAGGCUUUGUGGUCUGAGACACUGUGGCAUCGAGUUCCCCGUGCACCAUGGGAAAUCUUCAUAAUGCUUGACUGUAUUAGAGGAUGGAUCUUUGUUACAAUCUCUGCGUUAUAAAUAGAAAAGCAGGCUUAGUAAAUUUACAAAAAUUCAAAGAACUAAAAGUCUGCUGAUAAGAUUUCACAAGACUAAUAGCAACAAAAUAAAUGUUUUACUACUCUAAAAAUUACUGCUUCA